RNAcentral lists this microRNA (22 nucleotides) under Sus scrofa (pig). Its description in RNAcentral is "ssc-miR-194b-5p". Its record names the gene ssc-miR-194b-5p. The record is from miRBase by way of RNAcentral. Lineage: Eukaryota; Metazoa; Chordata; Mammalia; Artiodactyla; Suidae.
UGUAACAGCGACUCCAUGUGGA